AUUGAACGCUGGCGGCAGGCUUAACACAUGCAAGUCGAGCGAGCGGCGGACGGGUGAGUAAUGUCUGGGAAACUGCCCGAUGGAGGGGGAUAACUAAUGGAAACGGUAGCUAAUACCGCAUACCAUCAGAUGUGCCCAGAUGGGAUUAGCCAGUAGGUGGGGUAACGGCUCACCGAGGCGACGAUCCAUAGCUGGUCUGAGAGGAUGACCAGCCACACUGGAACUGAGACACGGUCCAGACUCCUACGGGAGGCAGCAGUGGGGAAUAUUGCACAAUGGGCGCAAGCCUGAUGCAGCCAUGCCGCGUGUAUGAAGAAGGCCUUCGGGUUGUAAAGCACUUUCAGCGGGGAGGCGUUACUCGCAGAAGAAGCACCGGCUAACUCCGUGCCAGCAGCCGCGGUAAUAC
RNAcentral lists this ribosomal RNA (406 nucleotides) under uncultured bacterium. RNAcentral describes it as "partial 16S ribosomal RNA". It matches the Rfam family "Bacterial small subunit ribosomal RNA", at positions 30 to 526 of the family's 1533-position model. The record is from RNAcentral.